CACGUAGGGGGCAAGCGUUGUCCGGAUUUAUUGGGCGUAAAGAGCUCGUAGGCGGUUCGGCAAGUCGGGUGUGAAACCCCCAGGCUCAACCUGGGGACGCCACCCGAUACUGCUGUGACUUGAGUCCGGUAGGGGAGCGUGGAAUUCCUGGUGUAGCGGUGAAAUGCGCAGAUAUCAAGAGGAACACCAGCGGCGAAGGCGGCGCUCUGGGCCGGAACUGACGCUGAGGAGCGAAAGCGUGGGUAGCAAACAGG
Molecule: ribosomal RNA, 254 nt
Filed under: uncultured bacterium
Lineage: Bacteria
Description: partial 16S ribosomal RNA
Rfam family: Bacterial small subunit ribosomal RNA
Source: RNAcentral